This 4069-nucleotide long non-coding RNA is filed under the name Monomorium pharaonis (pharaoh ant). RNAcentral's name for it is "uncharacterized LOC105834691". Lineage: Eukaryota; Metazoa; Arthropoda; Insecta; Hymenoptera; Formicidae. The record is from RNAcentral.
GCCCUUAAAAUCAUGUUCAACGCUUUGAUUUCGAGUGUCGAUGCUUGUAUUUAGUGUCUUUCGUAAAGAUGAGCCUUCGUGCACGUCGGUGCGUGUCCGCGAUGUCGCCGAGGCGCCAGAGCUUUUUUUUGCCUUUCCUCGAAACGUUGAUUUUCAAAGUGACCAAUCAGCGACUCGGCUCUGCCAUAAGCGUUACCCCCUCCCACCAUUUUCGACGCCACGGCUCAGUUCCGUUGGGAGGACGCGAGGGAUGUGAGGCCGUUUAAGUUACGUGCGCCUUUUCGUUCGUCGAAAGCGAAUAUAGCGAAUAGCGAUCGAAUCUCCUUGAUAUAUUCGUUAGUGAUCGUGUGCGGUUCGAAAAAGGAUUGCCAGCAAUGGUAUUUGUGUCUAAUGCGUGCAACAGUUUCGUCAGUAAAGUGUGCGUCGCGUCUCAGUUCGCUCGUUUGAGGACGAUGUUGGUUCUGCGUUCUCCGUUUCGUCGUCGACAGAUAAACGUUAAUCGAGAUCUCGGCAAAGCGACGCUCGCGAAAACCUGGCUUGUUUUUGUCUAGUGGCUAGCUUUUUCUUUUCUCGGAAAGUGCCCCCUCCCCCCACUCCUCCUGCCGAAGUAGCCAGCGAGCCGCCCCCCCCUCCUAUAUAUUUUCGAUACGCACCUCAGUCCCGUCGAGAAGGUCACGAUGUCGAGUACGCGAGAUUAUGUCGCAGUCGCACAUUUUGUGUUGUCUAACGACAGGCAAUGAUGCGUACGUGUUUAUUAGUUUACUACUCGAGAUGUGGAAAAUAGAAUAACGUCGUGUAUUGUGUGUGAAAUGCGCGGCCAUUCAGUCUUGAAGUGCGUCGCGUCUCAGUUCGCUCGUUCGAGAACGAUGUUGGUUCUGCGUUCUCCGUUUCGUCGUCGACAGAUAAACGUUAAUCGAGAUCUCGGCAAAGCGACGCUCGCGAAAACUUAGCUUGUUUUGUCUAGUGGCUAGCUUUUUCUUUUCUCGGAAAGUGCCCCCUCCCCCCGCUCCUUCCGCCGAAGUAGCCAGCGAGCCGCCCCCCCCUCCUAUGUAUUUUUAAUACGCACCUCAGUCGCGUCGAGAAGGUCACGAUGUCGAGUACGCGAAAUUACUUCGCAGUCGCACAUUUUGUCUAACGACAGGCAAUGAUGCGUACGUGUUUAUUAGUUUACUCGAGAUGUGGAAAAUAGAGUAACGUCGCGUAUGUAUUGUGUGUGAAAUGCGAAAACACUCAGUCUCGCGAAGUACGUCGCGGUUUCAGUUCGUAGCGUCCGUCGGUAAUUAAUUUUGCGUUCUCCGUUUUCUCGAUAUAAACGUUAAUUCGCGAGAUCUCAAAAAUACGGUACACUCGCGCCUCGAGUUUGUGUCUAUGUCGCGGUCACUUUAUUUUCUUAAAAGGUGCAUUCGCAUCGAGGUGAUCCUCGCGAGCAUCGUUCGUCUCGUUAAUUUUAACCUGUCGAUGUCAGGUACGCGAAAUCAUAUUAUUUAUUCCGCGAUUACGCAUCUGUUUACUCGUCGAGUAUGAAUAUUGCGUAUAAUGAUGUGCAACGAUCCUUGAUGUUCGUACGUUGGUCCACUCGAGCUGUGAAAAAAAAUCGAGCAACGUAAUAAAACGCGCGGAGGGUGUUCAGUCUCGUGAAGUGCGUCGCAGUUCAGUCGCUCGUCUGAAGAUAGCUGCCGUCGCGGAGACCAGCGGAGACACUGGAGUGCGCGAGAUCGGAGCACCCGUCGGAAUUUCGCGUUACACGUCUCGUUAUCCUUCGUUACAUGUCGAGUGAAUAUCGUGCGUGAACGAAUAUCGGGAGUGAAUCGAAUCGGACAGCCGGCGAUCGCCCCUGGAUGUUUUCUGGUCCGCGCGCGAUCGUCUUGUGAAAUUCGCGAGUGGCGUUGCGACGACCUCUAACCUCAACGCGUCCGAUCGUUUGCAUUUAGUGGAUGUAACGAGGAUACGUGCUACAGCAGAAGGAAGGAAAGGGAUGUUGGAAGCAGAGAGGAACAAGACGAUGGCGACGCUUCGAUCGGGUUCCCGGCCAGCAGUCCGACCAGUUUUCAACCGGCGUAUAUCAACUGUCGGCUCCGCCGUAUUUCAUUCUACGUAGCGGGAAAGAUCUCCGACGAGGAGGAGAACGACGGCACCAUUCGCCCUGGGCUCGCUGUUCGAUCGAACACAUUCGUCCCGCGGCGCACACGCCAGCGGGACACGGAUUGAUGACGGAAAGAACCGGGAUAAAUGCCAGCCUCUCCAAUGAUGCACCGCCUUCGGUGACGUAAACAACGUUCACGGAGUCGCGCCCGCAAUAUAUAUUCGAGAACUUACCUUGUAAAACGAAUCGUCAACAUCACAACCAAACUGAGCUGAAGCAGAAGUUCUAGCGGAAAUUAAUAUAAAAGAGCAACAUCCGUCCACGUGCAAGGUAAAAAAAAAUUAAUAAUUUUGCAAUAAAGCAGAAAUCUAAUUUAAAUAGCUCUAAAUCGUUAUCGCCAUUUCUUAUUACUAGCAUUGCAGUUAUGUGUUUUUAACAAUUUAUUUUAUUAAAGUAAACCAACGCUGUUAUGCUUUUACCGCGUCUCGUCCUGAUAAUAUUGGCAAUCGAUAUUUGCCGCUUGUAACGGAGAUAGCAUGUAUUUUUGUAGGCACAUGUAAGAACUAUUCUCUAAUGUACCGAAAAUAAAAACUAAAUUCUGUUGAACAUUGUGAGGUCGUGGCGGUUAUUCAGUGGAGCAUUUUUAGGAGAGAUGGCCUCGUUCCAUUAAUUUAGCAUGCAUGAAACGUGCUAAUGUUAUUUGCGGCCGUCGUUAACUAGCACACAGUAAGGUACCAUCUUUCAUUUUGCCGCACAAGAUAGUUUAACGAUCUUUUUUCGUAAAAGUAUGAUAAUUAAAACUCUGAUAAACGAGAAUGGAUAAUGAUUUUCCGAUAAUAAAAUCAAAAAUUAGAUAAUGCCACAAAUUUAAUUACGUUUAUCUAAUAGCUGGAAGUAUUAAAAUAUAAUAGUUGUAAAAUAUAUACCUAUUAUAAUUUUAGUUUAAAAAUUUUACCUCAAGAUUAAUACGAUUAUUAUUCCUUUAGAAAUUUCAGAGAAUUAUGGCUUUUUUAUUUAAUCUAUGUAUUAAAUUAACUCAAGAAUAGUCAUCUGGAUUUUUUUACAACCUAAUGUUGAAAAGAUGGAGCUGACUUUUAACUGAUGUAAAAAUCGGUCCGUGUGAUCGCUUACAAAAAAAAUGAGGUGACUAUUCCCGGUUGAAAAUAAAUAAGUUACACAAGUACAAUUUUAACCGUACUGUUAAAGAUUACAACAACCGUUUAGAUUGUAACCGUUAAAUUGCAAAAAUGUUGCUUAAGAUUGCUGACGAAAAUGUCACUGCAGCCUCCCUCAUUUAUUUGUCUAUAAAUCACUGUGCGUUUUGACUAAUAUUUAAUUAAUAUCGUUCCACCGCCAUCGACGCGUCUCGCGUUAUUGAAAAAUUACAAGAUUGCAACUUUAAUUUCCACGCGAGUAUAUCUUUGUCAUGUGUGCCGACGAUUCCCAACAUUGUCAUUCAUUGCUACGCUCUUUUUCACGCCGAUCAAGUUCCCUUCAAUCGCACACUGCGAUCUCUUUCUCACCGCCGUCGAAUCAGACAAAUUCGAUUAAGUGGCUCUCUUGGAAACGAUCUCGCAUCGCGACACAACACUCGCGUCGUUCCUGUUAAACGACUCUUCUCUCGUCUCUCCGCUAUUCGUCCCGCGGCAUCGAUCUCCUCAUCUCGCACUCGUAAACGCGGAAGGAACGAACAGCUCCGGGUUAAGAACAAACGCGCCGUAAUGACGAAGCUUUGUCGAAUUAGAGCCUUCCUUCCCAGCCAUUUCGCGCUUUUCCCUUCGCGUAUAGCCACCCUCCCUCGCUCCUUAGGCGCGCGCGCACGUGUGUGCGUGUCGGCUUUUGCGUGCCUAUUCCGUACGCGUGGAUUCCGUGCGCGUUCGAGGUUCCUUUUUCACCCUCGUGUCUCCCCCAUCGCCAGGCACCGUGUGUGUAUCCACCGGCAGACAUAAUUAACAAUUAGUUUCUCUCUCAUAAGUCGUGUGUUCC